UCUUCUAAAACCAGAUGCUUCGGAUCCUGAGAAGUUAAAGCUAUGGAUUCGAAACAAUAAUAUCAUAAUUUCUUGGAUUUUAAAUGCGGUGUCUAAGGAGAUUUCGGCUUCAAUCAUCUAUUUGGAGACAACAUCAGAAAUGUGGAAGGAAUUACGUGAACGUUUCCAACAGAGUAAUGGUCCACACAUUUUUCAAAUCAAAUGCAAUCUCAUGAAUCUUACCCAAGGUGGGGAAUCUUUUACACAAAACCCACGUUCUACUAAAGACUGAUAUCAGAUAAAAGGAUUUCUCCCAGAAAGUGUUGAAGAUGAUCUACCUUCUGUUUAUUCUUAGAUUGAUGAGAUUAAGCACCGCUACAAUUGGUUGUGGACAUGUGAAUUGCAUUAAGUUGCCACACCUAGUUUCUC
Molecule: non-coding RNA, 408 nt
Organism: Lactuca sativa (garden lettuce)
Lineage: Eukaryota; Viridiplantae; Streptophyta; Magnoliopsida; Asterales; Asteraceae
Source: RefSeq, a predicted model, not a curated record